Molecule: long non-coding RNA, 273 nt
Filed under: Bos taurus (domestic cattle)
Lineage: Eukaryota; Metazoa; Chordata; Mammalia; Artiodactyla; Bovidae
Description: long non-coding RNA NONBTAT001654
Source: RNAcentral
GCUAGAGGUUCUUUUCUAGUCUUACUCAAUGGUUUCUGAUAUGCCGUUAAGAGCCUGCAAACGAUAAUUUGGCCUUUUAACGUUUACAGUGUUAAGGACUUUAAGGUAAAAGAGUUUUCCUGGUGAACCAGACAAUGGAAAUCAUUGGGGAUUAACAGCAGGGCUAUGUAAUGAUUCUUGAUAUAGCAAACCUUUCUUUCCUUGUUCACUGAUAAAAAUAUUUUAUCAGUAAAUAAAGCACUCAAUUCAAAUGCUUACAAUUUUAAAUUUUAA